GCCCUCGUAGCUCAGUCGGCAGAGCACAUUCUUGGUAGGAAUGGGGUCCCCAGUUCGAUUCUGGGCGAGGGCUCCA
Molecule: transfer RNA, 76 nt
Filed under: Armatimonadota bacterium
Lineage: Bacteria; Bacillati; Armatimonadota
Description: Armatimonadetes bacterium (anaerobic digester metagenome) tRNA-Thr
Source: RNAcentral